CGCGCAGUAGAGCAGCUCGGUAGCUCGUUGGAUUCAUAAUCCAAAGGUCGCCGGUUCAAAUCCGGCCUGCGCCA
This 74-nucleotide transfer RNA is filed under the name Actinoplanes sp. TBRC 11911. It matches the Rfam family "tRNA". From Rfam's summary of the family: Transfer RNA (tRNA) molecules are approximately 80 nucleotides in length. Their secondary structure includes four short double-helical elements and three loops (D, anti-codon, and T loops). Further hydrogen bonds mediate the characteristic L-shaped molecular structure. tRNAs have two regions of fundamental functional importance: the anti-codon, which is responsible for specific mRNA codon recognition, and the 3' end, to which the tRNAs corresponding amino acid is attached (by aminoacyl-tRNA synthetases). tRNAs cope with the degeneracy of the genetic code in two manners: having more than one tRNA (with a specific anti-codon) for a particular amino acid; and 'wobble' base-pairing, i.e. permitting non-standard base-pairing at the 3rd anti-codon position. The record is from Rfam by way of RNAcentral. Lineage: Bacteria; Bacillati; Actinomycetota; Actinomycetes; Micromonosporales; Micromonosporaceae.